CGCGUAGGCGGCCGGAUAAGUCAGAUGUGAAAGCCCCGGGCUCAACCUGGGAAUUGCAUUUGAUACUGUUCGGCUCGAGUAUGGUAGAGGGGGUGGAAUUCCAGGUGUAGCGGUGAAAUGCGUAGAUAUCUGGAGGAACAUCAGUGGCGAAGGCGACCCCCUGGACCAAUACUGACGCUGAGGUGCGAAAGCGUGGGGAGCAAACA
This 206-nucleotide ribosomal RNA is filed under the name uncultured bacterium. Its description in RNAcentral is "partial 16S ribosomal RNA". It matches the Rfam family "Bacterial small subunit ribosomal RNA", at positions 568 to 774 of the family's 1533-position model. The record is from RNAcentral.